UGGGGAAUCUUCCACAAUGGGCGAAAGCCUGAUGGAGCAACGCCGCGUGUGUGAUGAAGGGUUUCGGCUCGUAAAACACUGUUGUAAGAGAAGAAUGACAUUGAGAGUAACUGUUCAAUGUGUGACGGUAUCUUACCAGAAAGGAACGGCUAAAUACGUGCCAA
RNAcentral lists this ribosomal RNA (164 nucleotides) under uncultured bacterium. Its description in RNAcentral is "partial 16S rRNA". It matches the Rfam family "Bacterial small subunit ribosomal RNA", at positions 355 to 511 of the family's 1533-position model. The record is from RNAcentral.